GGGGAAUCAGGGUUCGAUUCCGGAGAGGGAGCCUGAGAAACGGCUACCACAUCCAAGGAAGGCAACAGGCGCGCAAAUUACCCAAUCUAGACAGUAGGAGGUGGUGAAGAGAAUUACUAAGUGGUGGUCUAAUAGAUCACUUGUUUGGAAUGAACGUAACUUAAGAAAUUCGAUGAGAAACAACUGGAGGGCAAGUCCUGGUGCCAGCAGCCGCGGUAAUUCCAGCUCCAGUAGUUUGCUUUAAAGUUGUUGCGUUUAAAACGCUCGUAGUUGGAUCACGCAGCAGUGCUCAGUAAUCUAGAGCAUGGAGACGCUAAUGGUUCGUCUCUGACGGCCAUUGAGUGAAUUCGGCAAUAGAUGAUUACGCUGGACAUUGCUAGUUGCACGUGAGAUAGAUUGUUGGCCUUGAAUGAGCCGAUAUUCUCGUCUUGCGGGGUGUGCCUUGAAUAAAACAGAGUGCUCAAAGCAGGUUAUUGCCUGAAUGUUAUAGCAUGGAACGAACAAUCGUGUAUAUGUGUACGUUUUUAAACGGCAAUGAGCUUUUGGUUUGUCGCUGUUUAGAAUGUGCACGGCACCCACCAAAAUAUGGCUGUUGGUUCCAUAUACGGUGAUGAUUAAAAGGAGCGGUUGGGGGCAUCGGUAUUUGGCCGCGAGAGUUAAUUCUUGGCCGGGCAAAGGCUUACAAACGCAAAGGCGUUGUUCUGGACGGUUCCGUUAUUCAAGAAUGAAAGUGGGAUGGUUCGAAGAGAGCAGAUACCGUCCUCGUUCCCCCCUUAACUAUCCCGACCUGGGAUCAUUUCAGAGAUGUUACGAGCUCUGGAGAGUCCCCCUGGGAGACAUGAAGUUUUUCGGUUACUGGGGAAAGUAUGGUCGCAAGGCUGAAGCUUAAAAGAAAUUGACGGAAUGGGCACUCACCAGUGGGUGGAGCGUGCGGCGUUGCAAUUUGACUCAACACGGGGAAACUUACCUGGUCCGGACAUCGAUAGGAUUAACAGAUCAAUAGGUCUUUUAUGAUACGAUGAGGUGGUGGUGCAUGGCCGUUCUUAGUUCGUGGAGUGAUCUGUCGGCGUAAUCGCGGUAACGAACGAGAGCACAGUCUCCAUUUAAGAGAUAGAAGAAGACAUGUGCAGUUUGGUGAGGUGGCACUGGCUGUUACCUCAUCAGCUGUUGGUUGCAGGAAGGAUGAAGCGCUCAUGUCGGUGGCAGUUUGUGGGGAAACUUGCGCUCUUAUCGGUGUGAGUGUAUCAUUUCUCCCUUCUAUCACGCAUGUAGUCGGUAUCAACUGGCUGCUGCCUUAUGGAGAGACAACGAGGUAGUAUACAAGCUCUUUUUGCGAGGCCCAAGAGUGGUACUAUAACAAGGUCAGUGAUGCCCUUCGAUGUUCAGGGCUGCACGCGCGCUACAAUGAUAACGACAAACGAGUGAAUCUGCUGGUCGAAAGACGUGGGUAAUCUAAUUAAUCGUUAUCGCUUGAUGGGGAUUGACCGUUGUAAUGUAUCGGUCAUGAAACGAGGAAUCCCUAGUAUGCGCAUUUUAUAUAGAAUGUAGCAGAGCCUUUGAGUCCCUGCCCUUUGUACACACCGCCCGUCGCUACUACCGAGUGAAUGGUGUCAUGAUGCGCUGGGACUGGACGAUUGAGAUGGGUCGGUUCGGACCUGUCAGGCGCUGGGCCUACCAGCGUACACAACGGCCGGCCGAACCGA
Molecule: ribosomal RNA, 1703 nt
Filed under: Myxobolus cuttacki
Lineage: Eukaryota; Metazoa; Cnidaria; Myxozoa; Bivalvulida; Myxobolidae
Description: SSU rRNA
Rfam family: Eukaryotic small subunit ribosomal RNA
Source: RNAcentral